UACGAAGGGGGCUAGCGUUGCUCGGAAUCACUGGGCGUAAAGCGCACGUAGGUGGCUUGUUAAGUCAGACGUGAAAUCCCUCGGCUCAACCGGGGAACUGCGUCUGAGACUGAUGAGCUCGAGUGCAGGAGAGGAACGCGGAAUUCCAGGUGUAGCGGUGAAAUGCGUAGAUAUCUGGAGGAACACCGGUGGCGAAGGCGGCGUUCUGGACUGCAACUGACACUGAGGAACGAAAGCCAGGGGAGCAAACGGG
Molecule: ribosomal RNA, 253 nt
Filed under: uncultured bacterium
Lineage: Bacteria
Description: partial 16S ribosomal RNA
Rfam family: Bacterial small subunit ribosomal RNA
Source: RNAcentral